Long non-coding RNA from Chinchilla lanigera (long-tailed chinchilla), 1506 nucleotides. RefSeq lists it as uncharacterized. The record is from RefSeq and is a predicted model, not a curated record. Lineage: Eukaryota; Metazoa; Chordata; Mammalia; Rodentia; Chinchillidae. The transcript has 3 exons.
UGAAAGAAGGCGUCCUGCGCUGCUCCGGCCGGAACCGGAAGCGCCCUCGGGGUCUCCUGCAGCAGCGGGCCAGGAACCGGAGAGUCUGGGCCGAGCCAGGCGCAGCUUUGGGUCUCGUGGGGCGAGACAGCUUUAGGAACCGGAGGCUGGCCCACGAGGAAGAAAGGCAGCUGCUCUGGACAGUAGACUGCGGUGUGCCUUGGUGCCAGCCCUGCGGUCUUGAGCGAGGGUUGCAGCGUCCGUUUAGGAACGUGGAGCACCGUGGUUUUGUUGGUUUGGCCCGGUUAACUGUCUGGCGCCUCAUAUUUCCUAUCUUCCAUCCCCUGGCCUUAUAACUAAACUUAGGACAUCUUGGGAUUUUCUUUUCCCAUUUGCAAGCACAGCUCAGUCGCUUCUGUGAAGCCCCUCUCCUGAGGGCAGCCAGACCAAUGAGGACCGCGGAUCCCCCGCUAUGUCCGUCCCCUCUAUAGGGUGCUAUUUCUUUUAAAACAGCUUGCUCGGCUUUUCCUCCAACAGAGCUAUUGGCGAGCCUCCCAGGUAACAACUGAGAAAUCAUAACCGUGAUAGGCCAAUCAAGUCCAGAGACAAGGUGUUGACGCAAGGAAAGUGAUUUUGUGUGUAUGUAUGUUUUUAUUAUUAUUAUAUUUGUGUGUGUGACAGGGUCUCCCUAUGCAGUUCAGGCCAGCCUAACACCUUAACUGGCAACUGUUUGAGCAAGCAUCCCGGGACUUUGUACAGGUCACGCCUACUCCCCCUGCCAAUUUGCCACACUCUGAUCUCCUGCCUCAGUCAGUCUUCUCCCUGUGGUGAUUUCUGAUUGUCACAUGGAAGUCCCCUUUUCAGCCUUUAAGUGAGCCCCUUGCCUGCCCCCUGGUAUACACCUGUGGUCACCAUGGCACACGUCUCAGCUGGGGAUUCCCUUGCUGUCCUGAAUAAACUGUUUAGAGAGCUGGUCUCUGCUGCUCAUUUUUCUUGGCACCAAGCAGACAUGCUUUUUGGGCUGAACUUGAGGACCAUGUGUAGCACCUCCCUCAGCUGCUCCCCUGGCUAUCCAGCCCUCCCGGCCCAGCUCCAGCUUCCCCCGAGCCUUUUUCCAGGGACAUUGUCCUUUCUGAACUCUCCAAGUAAGAACAAGAACUGCUUUCCUGAAGCCCUAUAAGCUGAAACUGGACAACUCAAUGAGAACACUGCAGUUAAAACUUCAGUCUCUUCUGCAGGUUGCUUGAACUGGGUAAGCAUCACACUUUUCUUUAGUAGCCCUUGCAAAAAAGCAACUUGAUUUUAACCUGUCCGUUAUUUUCCUAUUUUCUGUGUCCUUUGUCCCUACCUUACAGAUCCCACUGUUUUGCUACUGCACACGGUGGGGCUAUCCUUCCAUACUGUAGGAUGGAGGCUGCCCAAUUCAUGAACCGAAGGGCCCAAUCUAUCUGUUACUGGAUGAGGAUCUUGUCCAGGUUCUUGAUGUCCUGAGCAGGACACAGAGAAUUAGCAAAAUCAAAAUGUUAU